GAUGAACGCUAGCGGCAGGCCUAACACAUGCAAGUCGAGGGGUAACAGGGAGCUUGCUCCGCUGACGACCGGCGCACGGGUGCGUAACGCGUAUACAAUCUACCUUUUGCUACGGGAUAGCCCAGAGAAAUUUGGAUUAAUACCGCAUAGUAUAUUGAGAUCGCAUGGUUUUAAUAUUAAAGGUUACGGCAGAAGAUGAGUAUGCGUUCUAUUAGCUAGAUGGUGUGGUAACGGCAUACCAUGGCAACGAUAGAUAGGGGCCCUGAGAGGGGGAUCCCCCACACUGGUACUGAGACACGGACCAGACUCCUACGGGAGGCAGCAGUGAGGAAUAUUGGACAAUGGGCGAGAGCCUGAUCCAGCCAUGCCGCGUGCAGGAAGACGGCCCUAUGGGUUGUAAACUGCUUUUAUACAGGAAGAAACACCUCUACGUGUAGAGGCUUGACGGUAC
Molecule: ribosomal RNA, 451 nt
Filed under: uncultured Flavobacteriaceae bacterium
Lineage: Bacteria; Pseudomonadati; Bacteroidota; Flavobacteriia; Flavobacteriales; Flavobacteriaceae
Description: bacterial SSU rRNA
Rfam family: Bacterial small subunit ribosomal RNA
Source: RNAcentral